AUUGAACGCUGGCGGCAUGCCUUACACAUGCAAGUCGAACGGCAGCACGGGAGCAAUCCUGGUGGCGAGUGGCGAACGGGUGAGUAAUGUAUCGGAACGUGCCCAGUCGUGGGGGGUAACGCAGCGAAAGCUGUGCUAAUACCGCAUACGAUCUAUGGAUGAAAGCGGGGGAUCGCAAGACCUCGCGCGAUUGGAGCGGCCGAUAUCAGAUUAGGUAGUUGGUGGGGUAAAGGCCCACCAAGCCGACGAUCUGGAGCUGGUCUGAGAGGACGACCAGCCACACUGGAACUGAGACACGGUCCAGACUCCUACGGGAGGCAGCAGUGGGGAAUUUUGGACAAUGGGCGCAAGCCUGAUCCAGCAAUGCCGCGUGCAGGAUGAAGGCCUUCGGGUUGUAAACUGCUUUUGUACGGAACGAAACGGUUCUCUCUAAUACAGGGGGCUAAUGACGGUACCGUAAGAAUAAGCACCGGCUAACUACGCGCCAGCCGCCGCAGUAA
This 500-nucleotide ribosomal RNA is filed under the name uncultured bacterium. RNAcentral describes it as "partial 16S ribosomal RNA". It matches the Rfam family "Bacterial small subunit ribosomal RNA", at positions 30 to 523 of the family's 1533-position model. The record is from RNAcentral.